Molecule: non-coding RNA, 1551 nt
Organism: Bactrocera oleae (olive fruit fly)
Lineage: Eukaryota; Metazoa; Arthropoda; Insecta; Diptera; Tephritidae
Source: RefSeq, a predicted model, not a curated record
CUCUUAAGAAAACGAUAGAAACUUUGUUCUGCGCGCUGACAAAAUUUUUUACAGCUGUGACUAUCAUACGACCGGUCAGAUGACUGUCACUGUUCUUGUAAGGUGAUCUAACAAUUAUGAGUGUUGGUAAGCCCAUCAGCAGUAUGUUGUAGAGUAUAUUUUUUUUAACCGUUUGUGUAUUUAAAGGCCAAAGAUAAGUUGACAAAAUGUUGUAUAGUUUUAUAAAUUUGUACUUAGAUUUGUAGAUGCCAUAUAUUGGAUGGCUAUCAAUUGUAUGGUGACAACACCCUAGACCCUGAAGAGUAAUCAGUGGGUAGAUUCAGUAUAAAAAAAUUUCAAUAAAAAUGUAAUACAGUUGUUUCAAAGUUACGGUCAGGAUUUCUUCUUAAUUAUGGCUUGCCGUUGGUGGAGGACAUUGGCUAUAUUAUAUAUCCUCAUAAUAUCAUUGGUAGCCACAUCAGCGCGACAAUCAUUUAAGCGCUUAAAAAUUUCAACGAUGAUGAAAUUCCAAAAGAAGCAAGCUUGGACUCAUUAAUUGGGGAACUCAAUCCUUGGAUAUAUUCCAGUAACAUAUUAUAUACGUGAUAGUUACGUUUUCAUCGCGUUAUGGGCUAUUAAAAUUAACUGUAACAACUUAUUAAAUUCUUAAGCGAAUUGUUUCGUGUAAUGUAUGGCUAGUAAAAGCGUAAUAAUCUGUGUAGGUUAACUUUAGAUUUUUAACCAAUAGUAAAAGUAUUGUAUGUAAAAUAAAAUAUAAUUUUUAUAACUGUAGAGGUAUAUGGAAAUGUAAGAAAACUGCGUUUGCCGUUUUUAAUUAUAUCUUAAGAUAAUGAUUUUCAAGUUUUUGUACUCAGAUUUUAGCAACAUAGUCUACAUUCAGACGAGGGCUCGUUUUGUCGACAUUUUCCUGCAUUUUCUUUCAUAGAAAAGGUUGUCACGCCACCUUUGACGGGUGCACCAGUCUUUCCAAUACUUUUGAAGUUUUCAAAAUCUACUAUUUCACAAGUUUUUUCACCCCUUUAGAUGUCUAUGGAAAUGUCAGAAAACACUUCUUUUGCUGAUUUUGAUUAGUUCUUAAGAUAAUGAAAAUAUCUUUAUUAUUUUGAAAUCUUAAGUUUUUGUACGCAGAAUUUAGCAAAAUAGACUACGUUCAGAUGAGGCUGAAGAUCGUAAUUUCUCUUUUGGUGUCGCUUAUGGCGUGAGACUAUGUACAGACGAGGACUAUGAGUUUUUGUCGCUCAUUAUUCGCAAUUUCUCUUUUGAUGCCGCUCAUUGCGUUCGCACGAGCGACGCGAGUCUGCCAAUUUGAGUCGCAUUUUCUUUCAACCCACAUUAUCAAAUUCUCGCACGCUUACCUAAUUAGCAAAAACAAAAAGCGUGCCACGCGAAUACGAGCGGCACGGUUCUUUCGUCUUUCCUAGUCGUCCCCUCGCCUACAAAAACUGGUUUAUACUAUGUUCGCACCGACACAAAAUUCGUGUUUUUAUAGGCAAAAGAGGUUUUCACGCGAAAACUUGUGUUUUCAUCCAUACAAAAUCUGUCAAACGAAAA